Molecule: long non-coding RNA, 635 nt
Organism: Aquila chrysaetos chrysaetos
Lineage: Eukaryota; Metazoa; Chordata; Aves; Accipitriformes; Accipitridae
Exons: 3
Source: RefSeq, a predicted model, not a curated record
AAAAAUUGAACCUCACUGUGAGGAGAUAUUUACAUUGGCUUCACCCUCACAGAAGACCUAUCUGAACACUUGCUUUAUUUUUUAUGAGCUGACUACAAAGACAAGACCCUCAGGAACACCCAGAGACUUCUAUCACUUUAGAAACUUAAAUUGAAUCUCACUGCAGGUGAAAACAGAGGAGGCAAAAGAUCAGAAUACAUGGAUUACUGUGAUCCAGCCGUGCAAAAAAUGGAGCAUAAACCUGGCAUAGAACAAUGGCAUUUUCAGAGCAAUUACAGCAUUGAUAUGGUUAUACCUCAAGAUAUUAGUGCAGUCAUACUAGAUCACGGUGUAUCAGUCUGUUCACCAUCUUGCAAGCAUCAGAGGAUUACCCUGAGUGAUGUACUCUACUUCAGGCUACCUAUGGAGGGGUCAAUACUUUUUAAUUAUAAAGGACAAUGUGACCAAUUGCCAUCAAAUCCUUUAUGCCGAUAAGGAAUGCUGCUUUGGAGAUUCAUGUCCAAGAAAUCAAAAGGCCCUAGAACAGUGUGUUUGAUUUUAUGUUUUCAAGAAAUCCUCACAGUUUUCAAGGAGCAUUUACCUUUUACCAUGUUCUCCCUCAAGUUUACUGGAAAAAAAAAAUAUUGCAAUAUUAA